Molecule: ribosomal RNA, 632 nt
Filed under: uncultured Sphingomonas sp.
Lineage: Bacteria; Pseudomonadati; Pseudomonadota; Alphaproteobacteria; Sphingomonadales; Sphingomonadaceae
Description: bacterial SSU rRNA
Rfam family: Bacterial small subunit ribosomal RNA
Source: RNAcentral
UUCGGGUACUUAGUGGCGCACGGGUGCGUAACGCGUGGGAAUCUACCCCUUGGUUCGGAAUAACAGUUGGAAACGACUGCUAAUACCGGAUGAUGACGUAAGUCCAAAGAUUUAUCGCCGAGGGAUGAGCCCGCGUAGGAUUAGGUAGUUGGUGUGGUAAAGGCGCACCAAGCCGACGAUCCUUAGCUGGUCUGAGAGGAUGAUCAGCCACACUGGGACUGAGACACGGCCCAGACUCCUACGGGAGGCAGCAGUGGGGAAUAUUGGACAAUGGGCGAAAGCCUGAUCCAGCAAUGCCGCGUGAGUGAUGAAGGCCUUAGGGUUGUAAAGCUCUUUUACCCGGGAUGAUAAUGACAGUACCGGGAGAAUAAGCUCCGGCUAACUCCGUGCCAGCAGCCGCGGUAAUACGGAGGGAGCUAGCGUUAUUCGGAAUUACUGGGCGUAAAGCGCACGUAGGCGGCUUUGUAAGUAAGAGGUGAAAGCCCAGAGCUCAACUCUGGAAUUGCCUUUUAGACUGCAUCGCUUGAAUCAUGGAGAGGUCAGUGGAAUUCCGAGUGUAGAGGUGAAAUUCGUAGAUAUUCGGAAGAACACCAGUGGCGAAGGCGGCUGACUGGACAUGUAUUGACGCUGAG